GCCACUUCAAAACAGAAAGUCCCGGACGGAAAGACGUCUUUCGUAAAGAACGUAAAAAAAACAUUGUAAAUCAUAUAGUGUGAUAAAGCGGCAGUCUCAUAGCCAGCGGCAUCGGAGUCGAAGUCAUCUUAGAAUGCGAUUCUCUUGUAUUAUUUCACUCUUUGUAUUUAGCUUCAUGAAGGAGUCUCUGGAAACGAUAGUCCAGAGGAAAGUUAAUCUGGGAGACACUGUGAAAUUUCACUGUACUAUCUCAUACCACUUUGAGAUUACCUGGCUGAGACAUGGACCCGGUCAAAUCCCCAGCGUUCUUCUGGUCGCAAAACUUGAUGAUGACGGUAAAAUUCUUGUUGUCCUUCGACAAAGCAAUCGUUUCGUCGGAGUCAUUUCAAAUCGAUCAAUCGCCCUGACGGUUACGGACAUAAAAGAGGAUGAUUAUGCGCUGUAUUAUUGCACGGGGAAAGAGGGUCGAACUCUACAGUUUGGAAAAGGAACCCAACUUCUGGCUCCAGUUCCAGCUAACCACAGCGGCUCAAUCGGUCCAGCUAACCACAGCGGCCCGGGCGGUGCAGCUAACCACAGCGGCCCGGGCGGUGCCCUGUUUUACCCGCUGUACGUCGCCGUGCUGGGCUGCGGCCAGCUGGGCAUGAUCUGCGCCGUCGCCACUGCUCACCUGAGGAGCAGGAGGCGACUCACUGACUGAGACGCUCCGCCCCCCUCUGCGCCACGGUCCUCAAAGGGCAGUCAACCGUUUGUGGCACCCUCCCCCCUCCACAUUUUUGCGAAAACUGUCUUUUUCCUGUUAUCAUGAAGGGGAGGGGGAUUGGGGGGGGGGGGGGGGGGUGACCAGCCUCAUCCUCACCACUUGAUCAUUCUGACCUCAGACUUUCUCAACACAACUUUUUAAAUUCAUGUUUUGUUUGUUACCUUUUAUCCUAAAUAAAACUCUUUACUGACCAAAAGGUUUA
Molecule: non-coding RNA, 965 nt
Organism: Anguilla anguilla (European eel)
Lineage: Eukaryota; Metazoa; Chordata; Actinopteri; Anguilliformes; Anguillidae
Source: the annotation of a RefSeq genome assembly